RNAcentral lists this ribosomal RNA (253 nucleotides) under uncultured bacterium. Its description in RNAcentral is "partial 16S ribosomal RNA". It matches the Rfam family "Bacterial small subunit ribosomal RNA", at positions 524 to 776 of the family's 1533-position model. The record is from RNAcentral.
UACGGAGGGUGCAAGCGUUGCUCGGAAUCACUGGGCGUAAAGGGCGUGUAGGCGGUUUCGUGUGUCUGACGUGAAAGCCCCGGGCUUAACCCGGGAAGUGCGUUGGAAACUGCGGAACUAGAGUCCCGGAGAGGAAGGUAGAAUUCCAGGUGUAGCGGUGAAAUGCGUAGAUAUCUGGAAGAAUACCGGUGGCGAAGGCGGCCUUCUGGACGGAUACUGACGCUGAUACGCGAAAGCGUGGGGAGCAAACAGG